Schizosaccharomyces pombe (fission yeast) is the source of this 217-nucleotide non-coding RNA. NCBI's taxonomy places the organism in Eukaryota, Fungi, Ascomycota, Schizosaccharomycetes, Schizosaccharomycetales, Schizosaccharomycetaceae. The record is from the annotation of a GenBank genome assembly.
AUUCAGUCAUAGGAUAAUACAAAAUUAAAACACCGUAUAGUAGCAGGAGGGUUAACAUCGCAAGUUUUUUGUUUUCAACCCUAUCCAUACUAAUCUAUUGCAGUGUCAUUUUGCGAGUACAUAUAUAUAUUUGAGAAAUUUAUCUUGAACCGCUGGAUAUUUGGUAUGUUCUGUGAAGAAAACACGAAACUGUGAAGUAUGGAUUCCUGUCAUAUUU